UACGAAGGGUGCAAGCGUUACUCGGAAUUACUGGGCGUAAAGCGUGCGUAGGUGGUGGUUUAAGUCUGCUGUGAAAGCCCUGGGCUCAACCUGGGAAUUGCAGUGGAUACUGGGUCACUAGAGUGUGGUAGAGGGAUGCGGAAUUUCUGGUGUAGCAGUGAAAUGCGUAGAGAUCAGAAGGAACAUCCGUGGCGAAGGCGGCAUCCUGGGCCAACACUGACACUGAGGCACGAAAGCGUGGGGAGCAAAC
This 250-nucleotide ribosomal RNA is filed under the name uncultured bacterium. Its description in RNAcentral is "partial 16S ribosomal RNA". It matches the Rfam family "Bacterial small subunit ribosomal RNA", at positions 524 to 773 of the family's 1533-position model. The record is from RNAcentral.